RNAcentral lists this ribosomal RNA (167 nucleotides) under Pagurus imafukui. Its description in RNAcentral is "partial 16S ribosomal RNA". Lineage: Eukaryota; Metazoa; Arthropoda; Malacostraca; Decapoda; Paguridae. The record is from RNAcentral.
UCUUUAUAAAAAUUAUAUUUUAAGUUUUAAAUUAUAUGAUCAUAAAAUAUAAAAUAUAUUUUUAUUUCGUUGGGGCGACGCAGAUAUCUAAAUAAACUGUCUAUAAAAUAAAUACAAUAAUAAUUGUUUAAUAUAGUUGAUCCUUUAAUAGAUUAAAAGAUUAAGAU